AUGAAGAAACGUCCUCAACUAGCACGAAAAGCCGACUCCAACGAGGAUACUCCGAUAAGGCUUGCCGUCUGUUACAACAAGGUUGGGGUGCUGCGGGAAUUGCUGCAACAUGAUAUUUCAUUAGGGUAUGAAGUAAACAACCAAGGUUUUACUCUCCUUACUAGUGCCGCAACUCGAGGUCAUGUUGGUGUUGCUCGAGAGCUUCUUAACCAUUGUCCAGAUGCUCCUUAUCGCCAUGUACACCAUCAAGAAUUGACAUGCCUUCAUUCAGCUGUACAAAAUGGUCAUACGAAGUUUAUUGAGUUUAUCCUCCAGACACCGCAACUUCAGCGUCUCGUUAAUAUGCAAGACAGCAGCGGAAGAACCGCUCUACAUUACGCAGUCGAGAGGUGCAAUCCCAGAACAGUUGCUGCUUUAUUGUCUUGCAAGGGUAUAGACACAACAAUAUUUGACAUUCAUGGUGAAUCCGCUGCUUCCCUAUUGUCAGGCAUCACCAGCCACGAGAAGAAUUUGGACUGGUAG
Molecule: ribosomal RNA, 522 nt
Filed under: Triticum aestivum (bread wheat)
Lineage: Eukaryota; Viridiplantae; Streptophyta; Magnoliopsida; Poales; Poaceae
Description: partial small subunit ribosomal RNA
Source: RNAcentral